CCCNNNNNNNNNNNNNCAGUUUCAUGUGCUCUCAUGGCCAAAGGGUUGCAUGUGUUGGAAACAAUCUUAAUCUGCUGGUUUUGAGUAUUAAAAGCUAAGGUAAAAUUAGUAAUUUCAAUUCCACUCUCUUUCCCUCUUUUUAUGAACCCUAAACUCACCCUUAAAGCCUUCACUCAUUUGGGGUCAAUUGCAUGUACACAUACUCUGUAAAUUGGGGUAAUUGAAAGUGCUAGGGAACUGAUAUUGAAAUGGAGAAAAGAAUUGAAGGUCGGAGCUUGGAAGGACUGUUGAUGGAACAAGAAAACAAGAGGAAUUGCUUAAGUUGUGUAAAAUCCGUAUUUGGGACAGGGCUCCACUCAAACGGUAAUAAAUCUCUCUCUGUAACUCUGAACUUAGUGUGGUUUGUUUCUAUGGAUAGAUAACGAAAUUAUCUUCGUCUGGGUGUUGAUUUGGUGGAAUUCAGAGUUAUAUUGAGCUCUAGGCAUGAUUUCGAAGUGGAGGGUCUGAAGCUGAGUUUGUGCAGGAAUAUGGACUGUUCGNNNNNNN
RNAcentral lists this long non-coding RNA (546 nucleotides) under Trifolium pratense (red clover). RNAcentral describes it as "long non-coding RNA (TPRA_LNC003038)". Lineage: Eukaryota; Viridiplantae; Streptophyta; Magnoliopsida; Fabales; Fabaceae. The record is from RNAcentral.